GGCGGCAGGCCUAAUACAUGCAAGUCGAACGCGCCGUCUUCGAAAGAGGGCGGCGAGUGGCGGACGGGUGAGUAACACGUGGGAACAUGCCCUUCGGUACGGAACAACUCAGGGAAACUUGAGCUAAUGCCGUAUGCGCCGGCAACGGGAAAGAUUUAUCGCCGAGGGAUUGGCCCGCGUCCGAUUAGCUAGUUGGUGAGGUAACGGCCCACCAAGGCACCGAUCGGUAGCUGGUUUGAGAGAACGACCAGCCACACUGGGACUGAGACACGGCCCAGACUCCUACGGGAGGCAGCAGUAGGGAAUCUUGGACAAUGGGGGAAACCCUGAUCCAGCCAUGCCGCGUGAGUGAUGAAGGCCUUCGGGUUGUAAAACUCUUUCGGCGGGGACGAUAAUGACGGUACCCGCAGAAGAAGCUCCGGCUAACUUCGUGCCAGCAGCCGCGGUAAUACGAAGGGGGCUAGCGUUGUUCGGAAUUACUGGGCGUAAAGCGCGCGCAGGCGGCCUUUCAAGUCA
Molecule: ribosomal RNA, 516 nt
Filed under: uncultured Alphaproteobacteria bacterium
Lineage: Bacteria; Pseudomonadati; Pseudomonadota; Alphaproteobacteria
Description: bacterial SSU rRNA
Rfam family: Bacterial small subunit ribosomal RNA
Source: RNAcentral